Long non-coding RNA from Carassius gibelio (silver crucian carp), 954 nucleotides. RefSeq lists it as uncharacterized. NCBI's taxonomy places the organism in Eukaryota, Metazoa, Chordata, Actinopteri, Cypriniformes, Cyprinidae. The transcript has 2 exons. The record is from RefSeq and is a predicted model, not a curated record.
CCUCCGACUCGGUAUCCGAACCUACCGUCUCUCCCGCGGACGCGUCGCCCAGCUCGAGCGCCUUCGCCGCCGGUUCAUUCGUGUCCAUUUCAAAACAGCGGCGCACGAAAGCAGCCGAAAUUAUCCGAAGGACUGUCGAGGCGAGGUGCGCGUGCCUCACGAUUCGUAAAGGUAUGAAAGCGAGAUAAUGGCCUCCGAGUGUCUUUACUGGGGACGGAGAUCAACACAGGAAGGAGAGUAAGCGGAAAUUACCGAAUCAAAACGGAACUUGUCGAAAGAACACGACGUAGCACGAAACCACGCUCGAGAGCAGACGCGAUUUUCAGUCAACAGUACACAAAUGUAGAUUUUUUUUAUUAUUAUUUCGUUUUGCGACAUUAAUUGUAAUUAUUUUACAUUUUUAUUUCGAAGUAUUCGAAUUUUUUAUGACAUUAUAAGGAAGACUUGAGUUUCAUCAAAUAAAUUGAUUUGUUUAUUAAAUUUAUCAAAUUUAAUAAAGAAAAAUACUAUUAGUUUUUUUUACUAUUAGUUAUUAAUUUUUUUAUUGUAAAUUAUUAUUGCAGAGUACACUGUGAUCCAUGUAAUAAUAUUAUUCUUAAUAAUAAUAGUAUAAAUAUUGCAUUAUUAGAGUACAUGAUUACAAUAAAAUGUAUUUGAAUAUACUGGAAAUAACUUUUUUUUUAUAAUUUAUUUAUUCAAGUCUCGAUUAAGAUUUCUGGAUGUGGAUAUUAAUAGCUGAUGGUCUGUUUAUUUGUUUACCUCUGUUUGUAAUUUAUUACCUGGAAUAAGUUGUGAGCUAUCUUGUUAACAUGCAGUUAAUGCACUGUGAGUCAACAUGAACUACACACUGUAUUUUCAUUAACAAAGAUUAAUAAAUAUGUAAUAAAUGUAUUAUUCAUUGUUUGUUAAUGCAUUAACUAAUGGAACCUUAUCAUAAAGUGAUUUGAUUCAUUA